UAAGGAAUAUUGGUCAAUGGACGCAAGUCUGAACCAGCCAUGCCGCGUGGAGGAUGAAGGUCCUCUGGAUUGUAAACUUCUUUUAUCUGGGACGAAAAAAGGCUUUUCUAAGUCGACUGACGGUACCAGAUGAAUAAGCACCGGCUAACUCCGUGCCAGCAGCCGCGGUAAUACGGAGGGUGCAAGCGUUAUCCGGAUUCACUGGGUUUAAAGGGUGCGUAGGCGGGUAUGUAAGUCCGUGGUGAAAUCUCCGAGCUUAACUCGGAAACUGCCAUGGGUACUGCGUAUCUUGAAUGUUGUGGAGGUGAGCGGAAUAUGUCAUGUAGCGGUGAAAUGCUUAGAUAUGACAUAGAACACCAAUUGCGAAGGCAGCUCACUACACAAAUAUUGACGCUGAGGCACGAAAGCGUGGGGAUCAAACAGG
This 424-nucleotide ribosomal RNA is filed under the name uncultured Chitinophagaceae bacterium. RNAcentral's name for it is "bacterial SSU rRNA". It matches the Rfam family "Bacterial small subunit ribosomal RNA", at positions 355 to 776 of the family's 1533-position model. The record is from RNAcentral. Lineage: Bacteria; Pseudomonadati; Bacteroidota; Chitinophagia; Chitinophagales; Chitinophagaceae.